This 404-nucleotide ribosomal RNA is filed under the name uncultured Methanolinea sp. RNAcentral describes it as "bacterial SSU rRNA". It matches the Rfam family "Archaeal small subunit ribosomal RNA", at positions 935 to 1333 of the family's 1478-position model. The record is from RNAcentral. Lineage: Archaea; Methanobacteriati; Methanobacteriota; Methanomicrobia; Methanomicrobiales; Methanoregulaceae.
UAAGACAGCUGGAUGAUAGCCGGGCUGAAGACUCUGCUUGACUAGCUGAGAGGAGGUGCAUGGCCGUCGUCAGUUCGUACUGUGAAGCAUCCUGUUAAGCCAGGCAACGAGCGAGACCCACGCCAACAGUUGCCAGCAUGUCCUCCGGGAUGAUGGGGACACUGUUGGGACCGCUCUGCUAAAGAGGAGGAAGGAAUGGGCAACGGUAGGUCAGCAUGCCCCGAAUUAUCCGGGCUACACGCGGGCUACAAUGGUCAGGACAAUGGGUAUCGACACCGAGAGGUGGAGGCAAUCUCCUAAACCUGUCCUUAGUUCGGAUUGUGGGCUGCAACUCGCCCACAUGAAGCUGGAAUCCGUAGUAAUCGCGUUUCAAAAUAGCGCGGUGAAUAUGUCCCUGCGUCCCU